RNAcentral lists this ribosomal RNA (439 nucleotides) under uncultured bacterium. Its description in RNAcentral is "partial 16S ribosomal RNA". It matches the Rfam family "Bacterial small subunit ribosomal RNA", at positions 339 to 795 of the family's 1533-position model. The record is from RNAcentral.
CUACGGGUCGCACCAGUGAGGAAUAUUGCACAAUGGGGGGAACCCUGAUGCAGCAACGCCGCGUGGAGGAUGACGCAUUUCGGUGUCUAAACUCCUUUUAUAUGUCAAGAAAAUGACGGUAGCAUAUGAAUAAGCACCGGCUAACUCCGUGCCAGCAGCCGCGGUAAUACGGAGGGUGCAAGCGUUACUCGGAAUCACUGGGCGUAAAGGACGCGUAGGCGGGUUGGAAAGUCAGGUGUGAAAUCCUACAGCUUAACUGUAGAACUGCACUUGAAACUUCUAAUCUAGAGUAUGGGAGGGGGAGAUGGAAUUAGUGGUGUAGGGGUAAAAUCCGUGGAUAUCACUAGGAAUACCUAAAGCGAAGGCGAUCUCCUGGAACAUUACUGACGCUAAGGCGUGAAAGCGUGGGGAGCAAACAGGAUUAGAUACCCCUGUAGUC